CCAAUGAUUUAAUGAGCUCUACCUCAGAGG
This 30-nucleotide non-coding RNA is filed under the name Rattus norvegicus (Norway rat). Lineage: Eukaryota; Metazoa; Chordata; Mammalia; Rodentia; Muridae. The record is from RNAcentral.